AUUAAUAAGCGGAGGAAAAGAAACUAACUAGGAUUCCCUCAGUAACGGCGAGUGAAGCGGGAAGAGCCCAGCACCGAAUCGCGCGUUCUUGCGACGCUGCGAACUGUGGUGUUUAGGACUAGCGCAUGCACGUCGGUCCGGCGUCCGAGUCCUCCUGAUCGGGGCUUUGCCAGAGCGGGUGUCAGCCCUCUACGGCGCCGGAUCGUCUUGCCCGCCACGUCCUCGGAGUCGGGUUGUUUGAUAAUGCAGCCCAAAGCGGGUGGUAAACUCCAUCUAAGGCUAAAUACGGACACGAGUCCGAUAGCGAACAAGUACCGUGAGGGAAAGUU
RNAcentral lists this ribosomal RNA (329 nucleotides) under Rhyacodrilus falciformis. Its description in RNAcentral is "eukaryotic LSU rRNA". It matches the Rfam family "Eukaryotic large subunit ribosomal RNA", at positions 42 to 365 of the family's 3401-position model. Lineage: Eukaryota; Metazoa; Annelida; Clitellata; Tubificida; Naididae. The record is from RNAcentral.